Molecule: long non-coding RNA, 363 nt
Filed under: Callithrix jacchus (white-tufted-ear marmoset)
Lineage: Eukaryota; Metazoa; Chordata; Mammalia; Primates; Cebidae
Description: lncRNA (ENSCJAG00000078428.1)
Source: RNAcentral
UGCCUAGAUCUAUGCUGGCUGAAGUUGCUGUUCUGCCCUGUUCAGCAACAUGGAUGGAAAUGAAGGCCAUUAUCCUAAGUGAAGUAACUCUGAAGUAGUCAAAUACUGCAUGUUUUCACAAUUGAGAGCUAACCAGUGGGUACACAUGGAUAUAUGGAGUGGAAAAAUAAGACACUGAAGACAAAAAAAGGGAUAAGAAAACAGAGACUGAAGACUUUAUGUAAAUUGCUCAAUACACACAGCUGGAAUGUAGAAUAACCAGGAUUCAGACUAUCUAAGAAGACCUCAUGCUCUGAAAAUCUUUAUAAAUGCUGCUUCCUCCUUGAGACAGAGUAUUAAAAGCAGUUAUUGUGUUACUAUAAC